GGGCUGACAGUCCCAGAGCCCUUACGAUGAUCCAGACGGGGUAACGCAUCUGCUGCAGCAACUGGCAGUCAUUGGUGGUGACCGAAUCCACCCCUGCGCACCAGAGCAGGGAAAAGAGCCAAGGCUUGUUCACCACAAAUAGGUUCACCGAGACAUUAUCCUGGUGUAGUGCCCUGUGGAGGUGGGAAACAGGAAUAUCCAGGGUCACAGGGCAAGAGGCACAGGAGGCAGCCCCCGUCCACGCUUGACUCUACAGUGUUGCUGCCAAGGAACUAUCAGUUCGAUCUUUACAUACAGCCCCUGACCAUCAGUGAUUUUCUUUGCAUGGCUGAACUUUGCCUCCUGGUGGAUCCCACCUCCGGAUCCUAGCUUUGCCAUCUGGGGCCGCACAACUGUGUCUCUCUUCUUUGUCCCAUGACAGCCCUUCGGAGGUCUGGGGAGCAGGACUGAAGCCUGAACUGGGGCCGGCAUUCAGAGCCCUUCGAGACCAAGCCCCUGCUCCCCUUGCCAGUCUCACCUCUUACUACUCCCAUGAAUUUUAUCUCCCACUGGCACUGAGCCACUUUUUGUCUCCUGGAAACACUUCUUCAUACCUCUGCGCUUUGCAUAUGCUCUUCCCUCUGACUAGAGUUGUCAGUCCCUGCUUUGCCCACUUAAAAACCAUUGUCAUUUCA
Leptonychotes weddellii (Weddell seal) is the source of this 674-nucleotide non-coding RNA. NCBI's taxonomy places the organism in Eukaryota, Metazoa, Chordata, Mammalia, Carnivora, Phocidae. The record is from RefSeq and is a predicted model, not a curated record.